This 918-nucleotide ribosomal RNA is filed under the name Lacticaseibacillus casei. Its description in RNAcentral is "bacterial SSU rRNA". It matches the Rfam family "Bacterial small subunit ribosomal RNA", at positions 8 to 889 of the family's 1533-position model. Lineage: Bacteria; Bacillati; Bacillota; Bacilli; Lactobacillales; Lactobacillaceae. The record is from RNAcentral.
AGAGUUUGAUCCUGGCUCAGGAUGAACGCUGGCGGCGUGCCUAAUACAUGCAAGUCGAACGAGUUCUCGUUGAUGAUCGGUGCUUGCACCGAGAUUCAACAUGGAACGAGUGGCGGACGGGUGAGUAACACGUGGGUAACCUGCCCUUAAGUGGGGGAUAACAUUUGGAAACAGAUGCUAAUACCGCAUAGAUCCAAGAACCGCAUGGUUCUUGGCUGAAAGAUGGCGUAAGCUAUCGCUUUUGGAUGGACCCGCGGCGUAUUAGCUAGUUGGUGAGGUAAUGGCUCACCAAGGCGAUGAUACGUAGCCGAACUGAGAGGUUGAUCGGCCACAUUGGGACUGAGACACGGCCCAAACUCCUACGGGAGGCAGCAGUAGGGAAUCUUCCACAAUGGACGCAAGUCUGAUGGAGCAACGCCGCGUGAGUGAAGAAGGCUUUCGGGUCGUAAAACUCUGUUGUUGGAGAAGAAUGGUCGGCAGAGUAACUGUUGUCGGCGUGACGGUAUCCAACCAGAAAGCCACGGCUAACUACGUGCCAGCAGCCGCGGUAAUACGUAGGUGGCAAGCGUUAUCCGGAUUUAUUGGGCGUAAAGCGAGCGCAGGCGGUUUUUUAAGUCUGAUGUGAAAGCCCUCGGCUUAACCGAGGAAGCGCAUCGGAAACUGGGAAACUUGAGUGCAGAAGAGGACAGUGGAACUCCAUGUGUAGCGGUGAAAUGCGUAGAUAUAUGGAAGAACACCAGUGGCGAAAGCGGCUGUCUGGUCUGUAACUGACGCUGAGGCUCGAAAGCAUGGGUAGCGAACAGGAUUAGAUACCCUGGUAGUCCAUGCCGUAAACGAUGAAUGCUAGGUGUUGGAGGGUUUCCGCCCUUCAGUGCCGCAGCUAACGCAUUAAGCAUUCCGCCUGGGGAGUACGACCGC